Molecule: non-coding RNA, 140 nt
Filed under: Rhodomonas lens
Lineage: Eukaryota; Cryptophyceae; Pyrenomonadales; Pyrenomonadaceae
Source: RNAcentral
GACCCGUGUCUUCACGAUGCUCGUGUCGAAGGGAGCCGACUUGGGGUCCACGGCGGGCAAUCGAGUGGUGCAGCGGCUGGAAACAAAGCAGGCGAGAGGCAACCGCUUUGCCGUCACGCAGCUCGACGGACAGCAGUUUG